RNAcentral lists this ribosomal RNA (426 nucleotides) under uncultured bacterium. Its description in RNAcentral is "bacterial SSU rRNA". It matches the Rfam family "Bacterial small subunit ribosomal RNA", at positions 356 to 773 of the family's 1533-position model. The record is from RNAcentral.
AGGGAAUCUUCCGCAAUGGACGAAAGUCUGACGGAGCAACGCCGCGUGAGCGAAGAAGGCCUUCGGGUCGUAAAGCUCUGUUGUUAGGGAAGAACAAGUGCCGUUCGAAUAGGGCGGCACCGUGACGGUACCUAACCAGAAAGCCACGGCUAACUACGUGCCAGCAGCCGCGGUAAUACGUAGGUGGCAAGCGUUGUCCGGAAUUAUUGGGCGUAAAGCGCGCGCAGGCGGUCUCUUAAGUCUGAUGUGAAAUCUCGCGGCUCAACCGCGAGCGGUCAUUGGAAACUGGGGGGCUUGAGUGCAGAAGAGGAGAGCGGAAUUCCACGUGUAGCGGUGAAAUGCGUAGAGAUGUGGAGGAACACCAGUGGCGAAGGCGGCUCUCUGGUCUGUGACUGACGCUGAGGCGCGAAAGCGUGGGGAGCGAAC